This is a long non-coding RNA of Corapipo altera (White-ruffed manakin), 1222 nucleotides long. RefSeq lists it as uncharacterized. Lineage: Eukaryota; Metazoa; Chordata; Aves; Passeriformes; Pipridae. The record is from RefSeq and is a predicted model, not a curated record. The transcript has 2 exons.
CAAACUGCCCCUGCACAACUGAGAGCAAACUGCCCCUGCACAACUGAGAGCAAACUGCCCCUGCACAACUGAGAGCAAACUGCCCCUGCACAACUGAGAGCAAACUGCUCCUGCACAACUGAGAGCAAACUGCCCCUGCACAGCUGAGAGCAAACUGCUCCUGCACAACUGAGAGCAAACUGCCCCAGUACAACUGAGAGCAAACUGCUCCCUGCCGACACCACGGACACCACAGCAGCCAGGCACACGUGCGGGGCCAAGCCGACCGAUCCACACAGCUCGUCCUGCCUUCACACUGGCACCCGCGGCAGAAAUCAGUACUGCAGAUGAGAAAAUACAUGAAAUACCAGACUGGUGAUGGCACUACCUCAGGAAACCAACCUCAUUUCCCAGCAACUGUUCCCUGUCACGCAGUGGAGAAAUAACUCUCCCAGGCACCGUUUGUUUCCUGGCCCUUUGCUUCCAGACUCUCAUGCGCAUCCCUCAGGCACAGGAGUGUCUCUGGACACCACGCAAGGAGGCCGAGCACUGAAGCAAAGACAGUGCAGAGCUGAGUACUCUAGUGCCAAACUACCUUUACAGAUUAAGCCUAUAUCUUAGCAAGCCUCCUCUGGGUGAGGGGGGAAACAAAAAAAGAAUUCCUGAGAAUUCUGGCAAGAGAAACAGGACUUUUCAAAGUUAGUCAUUCCAUGAACUAGAACACCUGUACUUCAGGAAGCAGGAGCAACAACAGUGGAUGAAAACGAAGUCUAUAUAGUAAUGUAUCACCUGUACAACCAGAAACCUGAAACGCUACACUGGACAACCCUCUGAAGGUUCAUGAAGCUGAAAGACAGGGAGGAGUAGCAAGAAAACAUUUCAGCUAUGAAAAGAGACCAAAAGCACUCUGUGUGACUGAAGCACAAAACCAAGUGGCAGAAAACCUGUGCUGCGGUUCAGACUCUCCUUCAUCCCAGUGAGCAGGAAAGGGACACUGCAGGAGUCUCUGACAGGACAAGAUCAGAGAGUUUAAGGCUCCACCAACAAACUUUUUUUUUUUUAAACAAGGCACUUUUCAAACUAAAGGUAAACACAAAACCAAAUGCAGUGAGGAUCGUGGGCUGUUCCAGCAACUGCUUCUGGUGUUACACUACGCCUUCAAUGUCAGAACUCAGUUUUCUAACACUGGUGCUUCCUAUACACAAAUAUAUUGUUAAAAAAUAAGACCUUACAUAUUUGUUAG